This 497-nucleotide ribosomal RNA is filed under the name uncultured bacterium. Its description in RNAcentral is "partial 16S ribosomal RNA". It matches the Rfam family "Bacterial small subunit ribosomal RNA", at positions 28 to 507 of the family's 1533-position model. The record is from RNAcentral.
GAUGAACGCUGGCGGCGUGCCUAAUACAUGCAAGUCGAGCGAACAGACGAGGAGCUUGGUCCUCUGACGUUAGCGGCGGACGGGUGAGUAACACGUGGAUAACCUACCUAUAAGACUGGGAUAACUUCGGGAAACCGGAGCUAAUACCGGAUAAUAUAUUGAACCGCAUGGUUCAAUAGUGAAAGACGGUUUUGCUGUCACUUAUAGAUGGAUCCGCGCCGCAUUAGCUAGUUGGUAAGGUAACGGCUUACCAAGGCGACGAUGCGUAGCCGACCUGAGAGGGUGAUCGGCCACACUGGAACUGAGACACGGUCCAGACUCCUACGGGAGGCAGCAGUAGGGAAUCUUCCGCAAUGGGCGAAAGCCUGACGGAGCAACGCCGCGUGAGUGAUGAAGGUCUUCGGAUCGUAAAACUCUGUUAUUAGGGAAGAACAAAUGUGUAAGUAACUAUGCACGUCUUGACGGUACCUAAUCAGAAAGCCACGGCUAACUACGUG